AGUGAACGCUGGCGGUAGGCCUAACACAUGCAAGUCGAACGGCAGCACAGUAAGAGCUUGCUCUUACGGGUGGCGAGUGGCGGACGGGAGGGGAAUACAUCGGAAUCUACUUUUUCGUGGGGGAUAACGUAGGGAAACUUACGCUAAUACCGCAUACGACCUACGGGUGAAAGCGGGGGAUCUUCGGACCUUGCGCGAUUGAAUGCGCCGAUGUCGGAUUAGCUAGUUGGCGGGGGAAAGGCCCACCAAGGCGACGAUCCGUAGCUGGUCUGAGAGGAUGGUCAGCCGCACUGGGACUGUGACACGGUACAUAGUCCCACGGGAGGGAGCAGGGGGGAAUCGGGGACAAGGGGCGGAAACCUGAGCCAGCCAUACCGCGUGGGUGAAGAAGGCCGUCGGGUUGUAAAGCCCUUUUGUUGGGAAAGAAAAGCAGCAGGUUAAUAACGCGCUGUUCUGACGGUACCCAAAGAAUAAGCACCGGCUUACUUCGGG
This 492-nucleotide ribosomal RNA is filed under the name uncultured bacterium. Its description in RNAcentral is "partial 16S ribosomal RNA". It matches the Rfam family "Bacterial small subunit ribosomal RNA", at positions 30 to 507 of the family's 1533-position model. The record is from RNAcentral.